AGGGGUAUAGCCAAGUGGUAAGGCAGCGGGUUUUGAUCCCGCCACGCCCUGGUUCGAACCCAGGUACCCCUGCCA
RNAcentral lists this transfer RNA (75 nucleotides) under Anaerobiospirillum thomasii. RNAcentral describes it as "tRNA-Gln(ttg)". It matches the Rfam family "tRNA". Rfam says of the family: Transfer RNA (tRNA) molecules are approximately 80 nucleotides in length. Their secondary structure includes four short double-helical elements and three loops (D, anti-codon, and T loops). Lineage: Bacteria; Pseudomonadati; Pseudomonadota; Gammaproteobacteria; Aeromonadales; Succinivibrionaceae. The record is from RNAcentral.